UCCGGUUGAUCCUGCCGGCGGCCACCGCUAUUGGAAUUCGAUUAAGACAUGCGAGUCGAGAGUCGUAAGGACUCGGCGGACCGCUCAGUAACACGCGGAUAGCAUGCCCUAAGGUGGAGGAUAAUCUCGGGAAACUGAGAAUAAUACUCCAUAGAUCUAAAAUGCUGGAAUGCUUCUAGGUCGAAAACUCCGGUGCCUUAGGAUUGGUCUGCGGCGUAUCAGGCUGUAGUGGGUGUAACGGACCCACUAGCCGAUGACGCGUAUGGGCCUUGAGAGAGGAAGCCCAGAGAUGGACUCUGAGACAUGAGUCUAGGCCCUACGGGGCGCAGCAGUCGCGAAAACUUCACAAUGGGGGCAACCCCGAUGAGGGAAUUCCAAGUGCUAGCACUUUUUGUGUUAGCUGUUCUUUUGUCUAAAAAACAAGAGAAGUAAGGGCCGGGUAAGACGGGUGCCAGCCGCCGCGGUAAUACCCGCGGCCCGAGUGGUGGUCGAUAUUAUUGAGCCUAAAACGUUCGUAGCCGGUCUUGUAAAUCCUUGGGUAAAUCGGCCAGCUUAACUGUCCGAAGUCCGGGGAGACUGCAAGACUUGGGAUCGGGAGAGGUCAGAGGUACUUCUGGGGUAGGGGUAAAAUCCUGUAAUCCUAGAAGGACCACCGGUGGCGAAGGCGUCUGACUAGAACGAAUUCGACGGUGAGGAACGAAGCCCUGGGGCGCAAACGGGAUUAGAUACCCCGGUAGUCCAGGGUGUAAACGCUGCGGGCUUGGUGUUGGGGGUCCUUAGUGGGCGCCCAGUGCCGGAGAGAAGUUGUUAAGCCUGCUGCUUGGGGAGUACGUCCGCAAGGAUGAAACUUAAAGGAAUUGGCGGGGGAGCACCGCAACGGGAGGAGCGUGCGGUUCAAUUGGAUUCAACGCCGGG
RNAcentral lists this ribosomal RNA (915 nucleotides) under uncultured archaeon. Its description in RNAcentral is "bacterial SSU rRNA". It matches the Rfam family "Archaeal small subunit ribosomal RNA", at positions 1 to 922 of the family's 1478-position model. The record is from RNAcentral.